RNAcentral lists this unclassified non-coding RNA (250 nucleotides) under Glomus sp. RNAcentral's name for it is "partial contains 5.8S ribosomal RNA and internal transcribed spacer 2". The stretch from base 1 to 65 matches the Rfam family "5.8S ribosomal RNA", at positions 84 to 154 of the family's 154-position model. The record is from RNAcentral. Lineage: Eukaryota; Fungi; Glomeromycota; Glomeromycetes; Glomerales; Glomeraceae.
GUGAAUCAUCGAAUUUUUGAACGCAAAUUGCACUCUCCUCGGAGAGUAUGAGUGUUUGAGGGUCAGGCUAUAAAUAAUUGAAAUCGUUGCUGUUUCCUGCUGACGUUCGUCGGAAAUUGGGUUUGCUUCAAUCCUUCUGGAUUUAAGCGACUUAAAAAUUUCUAUUUGGUUUCACGAGCGUUUGUAAGAUUUAUUUCUUUACUCGUUGAAGGUAUCGAUUUUUAUUAGACGUGAUCAUCAUAUCCGACUG